UGGGGAAUUUUGGACAAUGGGCGCAAGCCUGAUCCAGCCAUGCCGCGUGUCUGAAGAAGGCCUUCGGGCUGUAAAGGACUUUUGUCGGGGAAGAAAAGGCUGUUGCUAAUAUCAGCGGCUGAUGACGGUACCCGAAGAAUAAGCACCGGCUAACUACGUGCCAGCAGCCGCGGUAAUACGUAGGGUGCGAGCGUUAAUCGGAAUUACUGGGCGUAAAGCGGGCGCAGACGGUUACUUAAGCAGGAUGUGAAAUCCCCGGGCUCAACCCGGGAAUUGCGUUCUGAACUGGGUGGCUAGAGUGUGUCAGAGGGAGGUAGAAUUCCACGUGUAGCAGUGAAAUGCGUAGAGAUGUGGAGGAAUACCGAUGGCGAAGGCAGCCUCCUGGGAUAACACUGACGUUCAUGCCCGAAAGCGUGGGUAGCAAACAGGAUUAGAUACCCUGGUAGUCCACGCCCUAAACGAUGUCGAUUAGCUGUUGGGCAGCCUGACUGCUUGGUAGCGAAGCUAACGCGUGAAAUCGACCGCCUGGGGAGUACGGUCGCAAGAUUA
RNAcentral lists this ribosomal RNA (549 nucleotides) under uncultured bacterium. Its description in RNAcentral is "bacterial SSU rRNA". It matches the Rfam family "Bacterial small subunit ribosomal RNA", at positions 355 to 896 of the family's 1533-position model. The record is from RNAcentral.